This 593-nucleotide ribosomal RNA is filed under the name uncultured bacterium. RNAcentral's name for it is "bacterial SSU rRNA". It matches the Rfam family "Bacterial small subunit ribosomal RNA", at positions 8 to 612 of the family's 1533-position model. The record is from RNAcentral.
AGAGUUUGAUCAUGGCUCAGAGUGAACGCUGGCGGCGUGCCUAACACAUGCAAGUCGAACGAGAACGGAUAUAAGUUUACUUAUAUUGUCAGCUAAGUGGCGCACGGGUGAGUAAUAUAUAGUUAAUCUGCCCUGAAGAAGAGAAUAAUUGUUGGAAACGACUUGUAAUGCUCUAUAUGCCUUUAUCACAUAAGUGAGCAAGGGAAAUAUUUAUAGCUUCGGGAUGAGACUGUACGGUAUCAGCUAGUUGGUGAGGUAAUGGCUCACCAAGGCUAUGACAUCUAACUGGUUUGAGAGGAUGAUCAGUCACACUGGAACUGAGACACGGUCCAGACUCCUACGGGAGGCAGCAGUGGGGAAUAUUGCACAAUGGGGGAAACUCUGAUGCAGCAACGCCGCGUGGAGGAUGACACAUUUCGGUGCGUAAACUCCUUUUAUUAGGGAAGAUAAUGACGGUACCUAAUGAAUAAGCACCGGCUAACUCCGUGCCAGCAGCCGCGGUAAUACGGGGGGUGCAAGCGUUACUCGGAAUCACUGGGCGUAAAGAGCAUGUAGGCUGAUUAGUAAGUUGGAAGUGAAAUCCUAUGGCUCAA